Molecule: ribosomal RNA, 336 nt
Filed under: Triticum aestivum (bread wheat)
Lineage: Eukaryota; Viridiplantae; Streptophyta; Magnoliopsida; Poales; Poaceae
Description: partial small subunit ribosomal RNA
Source: RNAcentral
AUGAUUCAAGGCAAGGACUCCUACCCACUAUAUAGGAGACGCAAUGACGGUCGUACUGAAAUGGUCCGAGGUUGCAAACUAGAUAAUAGGUGGGUGGUUCCUUACAACCCCUACCUGCUAAGGAUGUUCAACUGCCACAUAAAUGUUGAGAUAUGCUCAAGCAUUAAAGCCGUUAAGUACCUCUUCAAGUACAUCUACAAGGGUCAUGACCGGGCAUCUGUAUCUGUAACUGACAAAGUAGAUGAAGUCGAAGUCGGCGAGAUUAAACAGUACAGAGACCUGCAGCUACAUCUCCCAAAUAUGCACAUGGUUUCAUACCAUGGCAUGGAAAAAUAA